UCAGGCCUAACACAUGCAAGUCGUGCGGAAAGGCCCCUUCGGGGGUACUCGAGCGGCGACGGGUGAGUAACACGUGAGUGACCUGCCCUUCACUCUGGGAUAACCCUCGGAAACGGGGGCUAAUACCGGAUAUGACCUGCUGCUGCAUGGUGGUGGGUGGAAAGGGUCCUGCUUUUGUGGGGUCUGGUGAGGGAUGGGCUCGCGGCCUAUCAGCUUGUUGGUGGGGUAAUGGCCUACCAAGGCGAUGACGGGUAGCCGGCCUGAGAGGGCGACCGGCCACACUGGGACUGAGACACGGCCCAGACUCCUACGGGAGGCAGCAGUGGGGAAUAUUGCACAAUGAGCGAAAGCUUGAUGCAGCGACGCCGCGUGGGGGAUGAAGGCCUUCGGGUUGUAAACCUCUUUCAGCUCUGACGAAGCUGCCGGUCUGGGUGGACNGGNA
This 442-nucleotide ribosomal RNA is filed under the name uncultured bacterium. Its description in RNAcentral is "bacterial SSU rRNA". It matches the Rfam family "Bacterial small subunit ribosomal RNA", at positions 42 to 478 of the family's 1533-position model. The record is from RNAcentral.